GCAGUCGAGCGGUAGCACACGAGAGAGCUUGCUCAUCCUGGGUGACGAGCGGCGGACGGGUGAGUAAUGUCUGGGAAACUGCCUGAUGGAGGGGGAUAACUACUGGAAACGGUAGCUAAUACCGCAUAACGUCUACGGACCAAAGUGGGGGACCUUCGGGCCUCACGCCAUCAGAUGUGCCCAGAUGGGAUUAGCUAGUAGGUGGGGUAAUGGCUCACCUAGGCGACGAUCCCUAGCUGGUCUGAGAGGAUGACCAGCCACACUGGAACUGAGACACGGUCCAGACUCCUACGGGAGGCAGCAGUGGGGAAUAUUGCACAAUGGGCGCAAGCCUGAUGCAGCCAUGCCGCGUGUGUGAAGAAGGCCUUAGGGUUGUAAAGCACUUUCAGCGAGGAGGAAGGGUAAUGUGUUAAUAGCACAUUGCAUUGACGUUACUCGCAGAAGAAGCACCGGCUAACUCCGUGCCAGCAGCCGCGGUAAUACGGAGGGUGCAAGCGUUAAUCGGAAUUACUGGGCGUAAAGCGCACGCAGGCGGUUUGUUAAGUCAGAUGUGAAAUCCCCGCGCUUAACGUGGGAACUGCAUUUGAAACUGGCAAGCUAGAGUCUUGUAGAGGGGGGUAGAAUUCCAGGUGUAGCGGUGAAAUGCGUAGAGAUCUGGAGGAAUACCGGUGGCGAAGGCGGCCCCCUGGACAAAGACUGACGCUCAGGUGCGAAAGCGUGGGGAGCAAACAGGAUUAGAUACCCUGGUAGUCCACGCUGUAAACGAUGUCGAUUUGGAGGUUGUGCCCUUGAGGCGUGGCUUCCGGAGCUAACGCGUUAAAUCGACCGCCUGGGGAGUACGGCCGCAAGGUUAAAACUCAAAUGAAUUGACGGGGGCCCGCACAAGCGGUGGAGCAUGGGGUUUAAUUCGAUGCAACGCGAAGAACCUUACCUACUCUUGACAUCCAGAGAAUUCGCUAGAAAUAGCUUAGUGCCUUCGGGAACUCUGAAACAGGUGCUGCAUGGCUGCCGCCAGCUCGGGUUGGGAAAUGGUGGGUUAAGUCCCGAACGAGCGAACCCUU
RNAcentral lists this ribosomal RNA (1061 nucleotides) under Serratia sp. KPS-14. RNAcentral's name for it is "bacterial SSU rRNA". It matches the Rfam family "Bacterial small subunit ribosomal RNA", at positions 57 to 1105 of the family's 1533-position model. The record is from RNAcentral. Lineage: Bacteria; Pseudomonadati; Pseudomonadota; Gammaproteobacteria; Enterobacterales; Yersiniaceae.